AUUGACUGGGUGGGGUGUUUCUGUGAUUAGUCCUGACUCUGUAGGGUGCGAGCAACAUAGUACACGUAGCUUUCUGAGCGCCUAGUGGGGGUCGGCUGAUAACCCGCAACUUAUUUCGUCCUCACAGACGUCUCUUCUCCUGGAUUCCCAGAUACUACACGCCAAGCCCUUCCCGUCAUCGGGCUGUUGCACUUGCUGUUCAUUUUGCCUUGGAUGCUCUUCCCUCAGCUGUCUCAUUCUCGCGUCUGAACUCAAAUGUCACCUCAGGCCUUCUGCAGUUAUCCUCUCACCAUCCUAUGCCCUUUGAAGCAUGAAGCAUUAGUCUGUAAUUAUCAUGCCUGCUCACUUACUGUCUUCCACACUAGAAUGUAAGCUCCAUGAGACUUUGCCAGUUAUCUUCAGUACAUGGUAGGUGCCCAAUAAGCAUGUGAUGACUAAAUACUAAAUAAAGAACUCUUUGGUAAAAAUGUAAUCCAUUUUA
Molecule: non-coding RNA, 481 nt
Organism: Macaca mulatta (Rhesus monkey)
Lineage: Eukaryota; Metazoa; Chordata; Mammalia; Primates; Cercopithecidae
Source: RefSeq, a predicted model, not a curated record